GAUUUUUCACUAAUCACUAGAAAUUUAUAUUUAUAAGUUUAGGAUAUCAAAUUUAUUCAAAUAUUUAGUAUAAGAACCAAAUAAACCGAUUGUCCGCGGUAAACCGCGGGUUAAAACCUAGUUACCUAUAUAGUUACGUCCAAUUUGAAUAUUUUUGUUGGGUCAUCUA
This 169-nucleotide small RNA is filed under the name Arabidopsis thaliana (thale cress). Its description in RNAcentral is "ATSL018520". The record is from RNAcentral. Lineage: Eukaryota; Viridiplantae; Streptophyta; Magnoliopsida; Brassicales; Brassicaceae.